AUCAAAUCUUGGGGAUAUAUGUUGGUAUCUAUUCAUAAUAAGCGGCGUCGCAUGUGCUCGAAUGACUCCAGACUAAAGGAAGAACAAUGUAUUGAAAUAAUUGUGUGUGCUCAUACAUGAACGAGCCGGGCUCCAAAGGAAAAUGGUUGAUGGGCUGGAGUGGUGGAGGGGGGAAGGGGCUGGAGGCCAAUCGAAAGAAAAAUCAUGUGUAUUUUUGUACACGCUACUUGCCCCAAAGGGACUGCGAGGCAUCUGACACAGCCAAUACAAGGCGGCAUCAAUAAAUGAUUUCACAAAGGCACACACAAUAAAAGACUAAGGAAAAGCGAGUGCCAGAGCAGCGAAAUGAAACGAAACGAAGUAAAAUGAAAUGAAAACCCCCGCAAAGGUCAUGAAAACAUCAUUGUCGGCGACACACAACACACAACUCACACACACACACGCAGAUCAACUGAGAAGACCCAAAGUCAAAGAGACCAUAUGAACGGAUUCGGAGUUACUGGAGACCCAGCGGGCGUGUUGAGAAAUGUGCGGUUUAAAAAUAAAAUCCAAGACAAGAUUGUGCCACAUGGGUGCUCGAG
Non-coding RNA from Drosophila melanogaster (fruit fly), 581 nucleotides. NCBI's taxonomy places the organism in Eukaryota, Metazoa, Arthropoda, Insecta, Diptera, Drosophilidae. The record is from Ensembl.